Long non-coding RNA from Talpa occidentalis (Iberian mole), 2225 nucleotides. RefSeq lists it as uncharacterized. The record is from RefSeq and is a predicted model, not a curated record. Lineage: Eukaryota; Metazoa; Chordata; Mammalia; Eulipotyphla; Talpidae. The transcript has 4 exons.
CCAGCCUCCUGAGCUUCCCCACCCCUCCCCGCCUCCCAGGACUGCCCAGGGCUUCCUGGCCUCGCCCAGACCUCAGACCCCAAAAUACCCUGGGUCUGGCCUCACCUGCCCUCCACCAGAAGCGGCCCUGGCUCAUGCACGAGGCGAGCCUCUGAGCUUUCCUCUUCCCUCCACCUUGUUCUGAAAGGGGCUGUGGGACCCCUGGCCCUGGGACCUGGGACACAAGACCCCAGGCCUCCAUGGAGACCCCCUAUAGGGGUGUUCCCAGAAGGCCCCUCGGUCACUGCUCCCCGGCCAUGGUCUUGCCUCCUCCAGGAUGGCCCCCAGGACUGCACGCCCUGCACCCUGGGCUCCUGGAAUGUUUGCUCCCAAUGGACUGUAGCAGGGUCACAGCAAGAAUCAGGAGGGGCUGCGGACUGUGCGUUGGUUUUACGCAAGGAGCUCAGGGUCCUCUUCCAGUCUCUCGAAAAGAGGGAGACAAAUGGGGGCCGGUGACCCCAACUCCCACCAGCCCCUGACUGGGCCUCACCUCCCCAGGGCUGGCUCUCUUCCCCGCGCUGCUUGGCCUCCCCACAGGGGACGUGUUAACACGACCAAACACCCAGACCGCAGAGCAGGUCACGUGGUUUCCCAGAAACAGCCUGUGCUGAGCAGCCACCCGGGCGGGCAGGAGGUGCAGGCAGCAGGGGCGCGCUGCUCAGCACGUCUCAGCGCACGUCUGAGUCCGGCCGAGUCAGGCACCCGCUAUGUCUCCUCGCUGAGGGUGAGACCUGAUACCUGGAGAAGAUGCCAUUAUCAGAGGAUGAUUUAACGUUCGUGGCUGUGGUUGCUGCUGUUACUGCUGCUGUGGUGUACGCCGUGGGCUACAGCAUUAGGAGAGUACGGGGAGCGAACGAGCAGGAAGACGACAGGGAGCUCAGGAAGCCACCUGAUAAAUCCACCUAGAGGCCAAGAGCCAGCACACCUGUGAUUCCCUGAUGAGCCACAGGGAAAAGCGAGUCACCAAAUCUCGAGGCGCCGGGAGGAGACGCGGCCUGCAGCUCCCGCGCUGCCCCUGUGGGAGUGACCAGACUCAACCUUUGGGCCGAAAAUGAAAAGCGUGGCCACCCCUUUGCGAGCCUGCCGCGUGCUCACUGCUGCUCCCCUGCCCACCCCUGGGCCCUCUCUCGUCACCAGCUGCCCUCUGCGGCCCGCACCCCCCUCAGGGCCUGGAAAGGGAGAAACUCCCCCACCUGUCCUAGCCCCCGCCCAGUUGCGGGGGCUCCACCACAGCCUCCGUGCCCCAGCAGGACUGACCCGGCUUCACCUCACGCCCACGCUGGCGCCUCUGCCCAGACCCCACAGGUCAGGCCCCGACUGGGACUCUUCAGGAUGCAUGGCCGGUCCAGGGUCACCCACCUCGUGUCCAGCGUGACCCCACCUCAUAGCCCCGGCUCACUCGUGCGCCGCAGUGACCCAGGGCCGGGGAAGUUUCCUCUCUAGGUACCGACUUCUCGUCAGGUCGGUCCCAGCGUCCGGGUGGGCAAGGUGGGGCGCAGGCUGGGGCUCCAUGCCCCCUGCUCCUCGGGGCAGGGCCAGGGCUCAAGCGGGGACCCCGAACUCUUCCAGGCCUUUCAUGGAGGCCUGGUCUGCAGGCCCCGCUGUAAAGCACGUACAGAGCUGACAGCAAGGCGUGCACAUGAGCCAAAAGGGAAACUAAGAACAUGUUAAGAUGCAUGGGGACUGCACCCCUCACAUCUGGGGCCGGGUAGGGGGGGAGCAAAUAUUGUUGAAAAUGAAAAAUGAUGUAAAAAGUUUUAAAAAAUAAAAAAUAAAGACUCCACUGAGGUGCCUGCAAGCGUUGCAUGAAGGCAGCUGCGGCCACCUCCUGGGUGUGAAGGACGGAUGAACACAGGCGCGGGCGGAUCAAAGGAGCAGGUGCACGACGCAGCCUCGGAGCAGCCCCAACACUGGCUCUGAGCGAAGUAUUCACCCGAAGCUGCGCUGUGGAGUCCAGUUCGCGGCCCUCCUUGGAAUCAGACUGCUCUCCCGCCGGAACCUCUCCUCACUCCCCGGCCCCGGCACCCCUCUGCGGGCCCUCGAGCCCAGACAGUUCCAGGCCCGAGCACUCCCACCUGGGGACGGCUGGCUAAGGCACGUCGCAGCCACUGUCUUCAGUCAGAGAUACUCUGGGAAUUGGGGUGGGCUCACCUGUGUGGACGUAAAUGUGUGUGACCAAUACAGUA